CGCGGCCUAUCAGCUUGUUGGUGGGGUAAUGGCCCACCAAGGCGACGACGGGUAGCCGGCCUGAGAGGGCGACCGGCCACACUGGGACUGAGACACGGCCCAGACUCCUACGGGAGGCAGCAGUGGGGAAUAUUGCACAGUGGGCGAAAGCCUGAUGCAGCGACGCCGCGUGAGGGAUGACGGCCUUCGGGUUGUAAACCUCUUUCAGCAGGGAAGAAGCGAAAGUGACGGUACCUGCAGAAGAAGCGCCGGCUAACUACGUGCCAGCAGCCGCGGUAAUACGUAGGGCGCAAGCGUUGUCCGGAAUUAUUGGGCGUAAAGAGCUCGUAGGCGGCUUGUCACGUCGGAUGUGAAAGCCCGAGGCUUAACCUCGGGUCUGCAUUCGAUACGGGCUAGCUAGAGUGUGGUAGGGGAGAUCGGAAUUCCUGGUGUAGCGGUGAAAUGCGCAGAUAUCAGGAGGAACACCGGUGGCGAAGGCGGAUCUCUGGGCCAUUACUGACGCUGAGGAGCGAAAGCGUGGGGAGCGAACAGGAUUAGAUACCCUGGUAGUCCACGCCGUAAACGUUGGGAACUAGGUGUUGGCGACAUUCCACGUCGUCGGUGCCGCAGCUAACGCAUUAAGUUCCCCGCCUGGGGAGUACGG
RNAcentral lists this ribosomal RNA (643 nucleotides) under uncultured Actinomycetes bacterium. RNAcentral describes it as "bacterial SSU rRNA". It matches the Rfam family "Bacterial small subunit ribosomal RNA", at positions 232 to 885 of the family's 1533-position model. Lineage: Bacteria; Bacillati; Actinomycetota; Actinomycetes. The record is from RNAcentral.